AGAUGACCUUCUCUGGAGUCGCUGCACCUCCUUGAUGAGAGCACAUUUGAACCUUUUUCCAUCUGAUGAAAAAGAAAGUUUCAU
Molecule: small nucleolar RNA, 84 nt
Organism: Suricata suricatta (meerkat)
Lineage: Eukaryota; Metazoa; Chordata; Mammalia; Carnivora; Herpestidae
Source: Ensembl